Molecule: ribosomal RNA, 80 nt
Filed under: Xylaria papulis
Lineage: Eukaryota; Fungi; Ascomycota; Sordariomycetes; Xylariales; Xylariaceae
Also listed under: 1 other name
Description: 5.8S ribosomal RNA
Rfam family: 5.8S ribosomal RNA
About the family: 5.8S ribosomal RNA (5.8S rRNA) is a component of the large subunit of the eukaryotic ribosome.
Source: RNAcentral
CGAUAAGUAAUGUGAAUUGCAGAAUUCAGUGAAUCAUCGAAUCUUUGAACGCACAUUGCGCCCAUUAGUAUUCUAGUGGG